This is a long non-coding RNA of Brassica rapa (field mustard), 3076 nucleotides long. RefSeq lists it as uncharacterized. NCBI's taxonomy places the organism in Eukaryota, Viridiplantae, Streptophyta, Magnoliopsida, Brassicales, Brassicaceae. The record is from RefSeq and is a predicted model, not a curated record.
GAGCCAGAGAGAAAUUAAACCGUUUCAUUCAUCAUUAUGAAAAUAAUGAUCAUUAUCAUUUCGUAUCAUGGGUAUUUUAGUAAUUACAAGAAUAAUGGUGUAUGUAUACUAACGUGUUUUGGAGACAUACAGAUUUCGCCGUUCUAUAACCGUUAGUUUCGAAUUUGAAAUGUUUAGCACCACCGAGGGCAGUUUAGUAACUUCAAUCAACGAUUAUAAAUACGAAACUAUGCGUUAGAUUGUUCCGUCUUUCUCUAAUUCUCUCUACCUGAAGGCUGAAGCGCACAUGUAGGGUUUAGAGCUCUCGUUCUUCAUCCAACGACCCUCUCGAAUCUCCUCCUCUCUGGAUCGAAUCCGGUGGUGGAUCAAUCAGCGGGUGAUUUUAAAUCCGAUCCGCCGCUCUACACGGUGCUCCUCGCCGUUGUGGUGUCGUUUAAUUCACACCCUGUCGCAGUAGUAGUCGUGAUCUAACGCCUCCGAACGCCUUCCGAUUACGCUGAAAAUCAGGUAAUUAUUGUGGUUCAUGUUGCGUGGACAUGGUAAGCUUGUUGCUUUAUUUACUGGAGAAAAUGGUUAAAAGAGAUUUGAUCGAAGUUUCUGGAAAGGAGAAUGUUAUUGUUUUGCUGCGGAGACAUAAAACGUUGGAAGACGUGUUUGGGUAUGAGCCAUGUCGAAUGAAGGUUACGUCUCUGUCACUCUCACAUACACACACGUAUAUACACAAAUAUUACAUAAUAGACGAAAAUUCAUAUAGAAUCCGACAAAAAGAAAACAGAAUACAAAACACAUAACACACAAAACGCAUUCAACCACGAUAACAAAGCAGACUACAAAACACACAUACGCAUCGUCAAGCAUAACAAAACUACAAAACACGCAUACAAAACGUCAAACACAACCUAGCGAAAAAACAGAAUACAAAACACUCAAAACACAGCAAAACUCGAACAUACAGUAACUCACAAGUCACAACACAAAUUUUUACAUAUCAAUAACUCAAACACAAACACAAACCUAAACAAUAAAGAUGCAAUGCAAAGUCCUAAGAACUUCCAUAUUCAAUAGUGUUUCUCGUAUCAUUUUUCAUAUGAUAUUUGUUUCCCAUGAAUCAAAUCAUUUAGUGGGCAAGCGACUAGCUGAAAGAGGUUCUUGAGCUGCAGCAAACAAAUUUUUUAUAAGCAAUACAGACUCCAAGAGGUCGCAUUUGUAGUCUUUGAUACAUUCUUUCAGUAACUCAUACCACUACCAGGUUUCAAAUUCCACCUCUAAAUCUCGUUUGAAGCCUGAGUUUUGUGUGUGUGUGUGUGUGGCAGUUAGUUAAUUUUUUAUAAGCAAUACAGACUCCAAGAGGUCGCAUUUGUAGUCUUUGAUACAUUCUUUCAGUAACUCAUACCACUACCAGGUUUCAAAUUCCACCUCUAAAUCUCGUUUGAAGCCUGAGUUUUGUGUGUGUGUGUGUGUGGCAGUUAGUUAUUUCUGGUUACGUUGAAUUUUUUAACUGGCUUUCUUUCAUCCUGCUCUACUUUCCAAGAGAUUAUUCUCCGUAGAUGUGCACGAGAUCAAGGUGAUAUAUCUAUAACCCUGUACAACAUGUUCUGGCACAUAUCUUAAGUUUAUCAUGUUUUAGGUAAAGGACAACAAUUAAAAAUUCCUUUUGUUUCACUAUGAUUAGAUGUCUAGGAAAGAUGGUUCUUCUAUUCUGAUGUUUUUACUUUUGCCUUGGAUCUCUUCUUAUGGUGGUUGCUAGGUAUGUCCUACUGUCUAACCUUGAACAAUGAUCAUUCAUUCACUAAUCUUGCUCGGGGGACUUUUAGGUGACGUCUUUUAUUUAUGAUUUUUGAGCUUGUUAAAUGACAGAGAGAACUCCAAUGAACAAUGGGGAAUAACGGUUUUGAUGGAAGUCUUCAAGCUAUUCUUUAAGAGGGUGAUGAUGCACAACCAAACUUCAGUCUGAUAUCUCACGUGGAGUGUUGGCCUUGUUUUCAGAACUGAAUCACUUACGAUAGCUUUACCAACCUCUCCAGAUAAGUAAGAAACUUCUAACACUUUAUAGAUUCAAGAGUGGGCUAGUGUAAUGUUUCGAGAAUUCUGACUUGGAUGAAUUUGUGGAUGUAAGUCAAGGUAAGUGUCUUUGCGUUUCUUUCUUUUCUUAUAUAUAUUGUUUCUGAAAAUAUAUAUUAUCAGAUCAAGCCAGUUAUGUUCAUAAGAACAAGAAUGCCGCCAUACGCUUUUAGCAGCCAAAAGCAAAUUACAAGUCAUGUGAAAACUGAGUGUCUAAUUACUUUGUAUUUUGCAGAUCGACAUAACUUACUGCUGCUGGAUCUAUAAAGGAAACAUUGACAAGAUUUGACCAAACUCUCAGAAAGAGCUACAUCACUUAAAGAUGCAACUGGCUAGGAAUCAAUUUUGUGUAUGUCGUCCACUUGGGAGAGCCAAUCAUUUUUCUUAUUACUUCUUUUAAAGAUGUUCAGAUUUUUGAGUUUCAGAAGCUGUGAAGGCAAAUCAUCAGUCCAGCAGAACCACUAAGAAUUGGGUGAUGAAAUCUCUUUGUCUCUCCUCAUGUAUAAAACUACUUACACCAACUCGCACAAACAAAACAACAACAAAAAAUCAAAACGUCACGAACACUCAACAAAUCACAAAAACUAACACAACAAAUACCGAAAUAAAAGAAUUUCACAAACACUCAACAAAAUCACAAAAACUAACAUAGUAAAUACAGAAAUAAGAAACAAUAAAUCAAAUUGUAAUAAAGAAAACUUAGACACACACUUACUCAAAAUAAAAGCUACACCAUGCCACGAAAUAAACUACAAAACUCGACAAACAAAAACGAGACACGAACAAAACAAAACAACUUCACAAUCACACCACAAAACAAGAAUUAUCAUGGGCAUUUUUUUUUCCUGUACGAAAGACUUGUAUACUUCUUUUCUUAUUAUGUUGAAUGCUUCUUUUUUACUUACUUGAUGUUUGUUGGAUUCAAAAAGCUUGAGUUUAAUAUCGUUUAAACAUUGUGUAAAAAAUAAUUAAUGCCCGAUUUUUAAGGAUAUUUAUCGGUUCAUUUUUAUAUCAA